GGUUACAGGGAGCUGGCAUCAAGCCUGUUUCCCAGCUGGCUUAGGAUGUGUUUCUGAGGAUACCAUCCAGACAUUAUUCACCUACCAAAUGUAGGACAGGGUGCUUGGAAAAAAAGAGUGUCUUGCCAAUAGGGAGGGAAUCCUAAAGAAGGGAUUUCCAGAGAAGGUCUCUGAGAAUCAGCUUGUACCUGUAGCCUCCAGACAUUGCAGUGUGGAUGAACUCCACUAUCAGUGAGUCAGAAAGUGAGGUCUCUUCCAUGGCCUGGAUCCCCUACAGGGAAGACCUUCAAAGAUACCUGCGUGAAGGGGAAUAUCCUCCCUUUCGGUCUGUUGCAAUGUUUGAAAGCAACUUUAUCCAGAUUACUAGGAGGGGCAAGAACGUGGACAUCCAUAAUCAUCCGACCGAGGCCACCAUCGGCAUCAUCUCCACCGACAACAAACUGCCACUGCCCAACAUAAUGCUCAUCGCCCGCCCAGUGCCCAUGCAGAACGGCCAGGUCCCCUCAGGGUGCCGCACCGAGCAGCUGGUGCUCACCAGGCUCCUGCCCUUGAAGUUUGUGCGCAUCUCCGUUCACGAUCCCGACAGGCAGCGCAUCAAGCUCAAGCUGAUCAAUGGGCGCUCCUACUACCUGCAGCUUUAUGCCUCCCCGGGGGAGCAGGAGCUUCUCUUUGAUCGCUGGCUGUCACUCAUCUACCUGCUGCAUCACCCCCCGGACUGGUACCUGCGCCCGAGUUCCUGCAUGCCCAGAGACAACCUCAGUGUGCAGAUCCUAGCGAGCGAGGAGGAAGAGGAGGUGGUGGUGCCAGGAAGCCAGAACAAGGCUCAGGAGGAUGCAGAUCCAGAAGAGAAGGGACAGGAGCAGGUGGACAAUGCUGCAAGUCCUCUUGGUGAGAGCAGCAGCAGAGUGAGUCUCGCCCAAGGGCCAAGCACAGAGACCAAGCCGGAGCUCAGCUCGGAGUCCAAUGAGCACGAGAGCCUCACAGAGUCAGACGUGGUGAGGCAUGAAGGGGAUCUGGGAGAAAGGGCCAACAGCAGCUCACUGCACUCCAGCACGGCAGUAGAUCAGGCCAGGGAAAAUACAGCUGUGUCUGUCCUGUCAGACACAACAGCUAAGGAUUCAAACACAUCGUCACAGGCUUCAGUGAAGGGGAGAUGCAGCAGCCUUAAGAUUGUGACGCUCUUUAGUGCCAUUUCCAAAACACUUCUGAGAAAGGGGAGUGAGGAAGAGAAGACUGAAGCUGACCAUGGAUGAUGGAGAAACUGAGACCCAUCAGCACAGAGGAAAGAACAGAGACCCUAGUCCUGGGAGGAGAAGGGAAGUAGAAGGGCAGUGCCCAGCUGGAAUGAUCCAAAACUGCUUCCAUAUAAGAAUGAAGGGAAAGAAACAGAAGAGAAAUGGAUGGAGAAUGGGAAGAAAAGUUUACCACCUAAAAGACUUAUCCAGUCCUUCCUUCUCAUGCAUUUUAACCCUUUAAAAUUAAACAUUCUUCUAAACAUCAGUCAGCAACACCGUGCUGGAAAAGCCAGCAUCCAGGCUAGAGAGAAGGCUGCUCUGGGACAUUUACAAUUUAUAUUUACAAGACAAUUACAGCCAUCAGCAAGAGGGUCAGAAGGGACACAUUUUAAAUACUGUAGCCUCUGUCUAGAUUUUUGUUGUAUUAUCUUUCACAGUUUUCUAUUGUGUGCUAUGCUCCUGAUGGUCAACUCUCACAGAGUUGGUCAUAAUGGGGAACAAAUAAGGAAUUCUGGUUUAAUCCCAAGAAGCAGUUACUAUCUGCAUGUACUGGAGCCGAAUGCAUCAGAUAAGGGGCUCUAUAAGCUAUUUUUACCACCCCACAAGUAAAGAAAACAGUUCCCGCUCUGCAGAAUUUACAAUCGAACAUUAGAUAUGACACAAUGAGUAGAGCAACAAAGAGUAAGGAGGAACAAGCAAUCAUACAGCAAUAACGUCCAUCUCAGUUAUGGCACAUUCACACAGAUUCAUAGAUUAAGAUCAGAAGGAUCCAUUAUGGUCAAAUCAACAUGUUCAACAGCCUAAGGGUUACUGGAAAGGGUUUAGUUAUUUUAAACAUAACCCACUGGAGCCAAGAGCUUAACACCUCCAAGGUACUGAGGGAUAAAAGGCUAAAUCCCAGUUUAUCAGCCACAAGAGAAAGAAAGAAAAAAGUGACGCAUACCGCCAAGCUGGGGUUCUUCACUGCAGGGCAGGC
This is an RNA transcript of Mauremys reevesii (Reeves's turtle), 2211 nucleotides long. It is a transcript of the gene named protein FAM71C-like, with no coding region annotated. The record is from RefSeq and is a predicted model, not a curated record. The transcript has 8 exons. Lineage: Eukaryota; Metazoa; Chordata; Testudines; Geoemydidae.